RNAcentral lists this unclassified non-coding RNA (395 nucleotides) under Hevea brasiliensis (rubber tree). Lineage: Eukaryota; Viridiplantae; Streptophyta; Magnoliopsida; Malpighiales; Euphorbiaceae. The record is from RNAcentral.
AAAUAUCUAUAAGCAUCAACUUCUUGACUUUGCCCAGUAUUUUUGGGUGCUUUAAAUAGAAAACAAAGGCUUUAAAAAAGCACCCUGCAAAAGGAAAAGAAAAGAAAAAAGGGUGCUUUAUACAGUCCUUUUUUCUGUACACUUACAAACAAAUUGGACUCAAAACUCCUUCACAAACUGCUCAUCUGCAAAAAUAAUCACUUUAUAAGUUAUAAAUGAAUAUAGAACUUGCAAAGAGCACAACAUUGCUCCUCUUAAUUUACAUCUAGAUGCUUGUUGAACAGUCCAUUUUGAUAUGAGGGAUUCCUAUGAUUGAUUAGGGAUAAUAUUUCAGAAAGUGUGUGCCAUUCAACCACUGUAUGCCAUUUUUGAAUCAAGGACUAUGCAAAUUACGU